This 256-nucleotide ribosomal RNA is filed under the name uncultured Lactobacillus sp. Its description in RNAcentral is "partial 16S ribosomal RNA". It matches the Rfam family "Bacterial small subunit ribosomal RNA", at positions 107 to 354 of the family's 1533-position model. The record is from RNAcentral. Lineage: Bacteria; Bacillati; Bacillota; Bacilli; Lactobacillales; Lactobacillaceae.
UGAGUAACGCGUGGGUAACCUGCCCUUAAGUCUGGGAUACCAUUUGGAAACAGAUGCUAAUACCGGAUAAAAGCUACUUUCGCAUGAAAGAAGUUUAAAAGGCGGCGUAAGCUGUCGCUAAAGGAUGGACCUGCGAUGCAUUAGCUAGUUGGUAAGGUAACGGCUUACCAAGGCGAUGAUGCAUAGCCGAGUUGAGAGACUGAUCGGCCACAUUGGGACUGAGACACGGCCCAAACUCCUACGGGAGGCAGCAGGU